GACGAACGCUGGCGGCGCGCUUAACACAUGCAAGUCGAACGGAAAGGCCUGCUUUCCCUUGUGGAUUGCGGGUACUCGAGUGGCGAACGGGUGAGUAACACGUGUGUGAUCUGCCCCCAACUUGGGUAUAAGCCUGGGAAACUGGGUCUAAUUCCCGAUAGGACUGCAGGGUGGUGCCUGUGGUGGAAAACGAUUUUCUAGUGGUUGGGGAUGAGCUCGCGGCCUAUCAGCUUGUUGGUGGGGUAAUGGCCUACCAAGGCGGCGACGGGUAGCCGGCCUGAGAGGGUGGACGGCCACAUUGGGACUGAGAUACGGCCCAGACUCCUACGGGAGGCAGCAGUGGGGAAUAUUGCACAAUGGGCGGAAGCCUGAUGCAGCGACGCCGCGUGGGGGAUGACGGCCUUCGGGUUGUAAACUCCUUUCGACCGCGAGGAAGCCACCUGGUUGGAAGGGUGGUGACGGUAGUGGUAGAAGAAGCACCGGCUAACUACGUG
RNAcentral lists this ribosomal RNA (494 nucleotides) under uncultured bacterium. Its description in RNAcentral is "partial 16S ribosomal RNA". It matches the Rfam family "Bacterial small subunit ribosomal RNA", at positions 28 to 507 of the family's 1533-position model. The record is from RNAcentral.